GGGGACUUGAGGUUUAUUUUUCUAGUAGUGUGGAUUGAUUGAAUUUGACUUGAUUUUAUGUUCAUUUUUAUUUUUAUUCCAAUAAAUGUUUUCUAGGGUUUUGUGCCUAACGUUUGCAGACUGCAGUUUAAACAAGAACUUGAUUAUAUGGGCACUCAAUUCUACCAAAAGGAUUUCAACCACUGUGGGGAUAUAUUUUCAAAUAUAUAUCGAAACCACUUAGGGCAUCAGUCCUCCUCA
RNAcentral lists this long non-coding RNA (240 nucleotides) under Vigna radiata. Its description in RNAcentral is "long non-coding RNA (VRAD_LNC011257)". The record is from RNAcentral. Lineage: Eukaryota; Viridiplantae; Streptophyta; Magnoliopsida; Fabales; Fabaceae.